UGAGGAAUAUUGGCCAAUGGGCGUGAGCCUGAACCAGCCAGGUAGCGUGCAGGAAGACGGCCCUAUGGGUUGUAAACUGCUUUUAUGCGGGGAUAAAGGAGUCCACGGGUGGAUUUUUGCAGGUACCGCAGGAAUAAGGACCGGCUAAUUCCGUGCCAGCAGCCGCGGUAAUACGGAAGGUCCGGGCGUUAUCCGGAUUUAUUGGGUUUAAAGGGAGCGUAGGCCGCGUUUUAAGCGUGUUGUGAAAUGUAGACGCCCAACGUCUGCAUCGCAGCGCGAACUGGGACGCUUGAGUACGCGCAACGUUGGCGGAAUUCGUCGUGUAGCGGUGAAAUGCUUAGAUAUGACGAGGAACUCCGAUUGCGAAGGCAGCUGACGGGAGCGGCACUGACGCUUAAGCUCGAAGGUGCGGGUAUCAAACAGG
Molecule: ribosomal RNA, 424 nt
Filed under: Verrucomicrobiota bacterium
Lineage: Bacteria; Pseudomonadati; Verrucomicrobiota
Description: Verrucomicrobia bacterium partial 16S ribosomal RNA
Rfam family: Bacterial small subunit ribosomal RNA
Source: RNAcentral